Molecule: non-coding RNA, 658 nt
Organism: Linepithema humile (Argentine ant)
Lineage: Eukaryota; Metazoa; Arthropoda; Insecta; Hymenoptera; Formicidae
Source: RefSeq, a predicted model, not a curated record
GAUUCCGUGAGAGGGAUCGCCGCGACAGGGCUUGAAGUUAGGUAUUCAGAAAAGCGCACGGUUCAUAGGAAGUCUGCUACGUGACGGCGAUGUCAACCCGGCGCGAAGAAACGAGAAAUAAUAAUAAAAAAAAAGGGAGAGAAGAAGGAGGCGAAGAGACGACGAGGCGUUCGACCGUUCCGUCUCUCGCAUAUGUGAUGCGUCCUUAAGGAAUUUUUUAGCUUUGCCAUGCGCUGUCAUCCUGAAUUUUACACGGCAAACGAUUCCGACGAAAAUGCGUUUCACGUACUUUUAACACUGAAUUAUUAUGCGCUUGUGAAAGUGGAGAACCAUACAAAACAGGCAACGUGGACCUUUUGACCUCCGGAAUAAUCUUACUUCACGACUGUGCGCGUUCAUAUACUGCUAUUCGCACCUGCCGAUUCCUUGAAAAAAUUCUGAAGGAGAAAUGUUCGAUCACCCAUUGUCUAGAUCUGGCACUGAACAACUAUCGCUUCUUGCAUUUCAAAAGAUAUUUCAAAGCUACAGCCCGAAACAAAUAGACUAAAAAUAAUGAUGAUCAGCUAACUAAAGAUAACAAUAUUUAUAUGAUAACAAUUUUUUCCGAAGAGAUUGUAGCAAAGAGAUUGUAACGAAAGCUGAUAAUACUAAACUUAUC